GCCAGCUUAGCUCAACUGGGAGAGCAACUGAUUUGUAAUCAGUAGGUUAUGGGUUCGGGUCCUAUAGCUGGCA
This 73-nucleotide transfer RNA is filed under the name Candidatus Xenolissoclinum pacificiensis L6. It matches the Rfam family "tRNA". From Rfam's summary of the family: Transfer RNA (tRNA) molecules are approximately 80 nucleotides in length. Their secondary structure includes four short double-helical elements and three loops (D, anti-codon, and T loops). Further hydrogen bonds mediate the characteristic L-shaped molecular structure. tRNAs have two regions of fundamental functional importance: the anti-codon, which is responsible for specific mRNA codon recognition, and the 3' end, to which the tRNAs corresponding amino acid is attached (by aminoacyl-tRNA synthetases). tRNAs cope with the degeneracy of the genetic code in two manners: having more than one tRNA (with a specific anti-codon) for a particular amino acid; and 'wobble' base-pairing, i.e. permitting non-standard base-pairing at the 3rd anti-codon position. Lineage: Bacteria; Pseudomonadati; Pseudomonadota; Alphaproteobacteria; Rickettsiales; Anaplasmataceae. The record is from Rfam by way of RNAcentral.